GCUUUUAUAGCUUAGUGGUUAAAGCAAUAAACUGAAGAUUUAUAUACAUGUGUUCGAUUCACUUUAAAGGCA
Molecule: transfer RNA, 72 nt
Filed under: Saccharomycodes ludwigii
Lineage: Eukaryota; Fungi; Ascomycota; Saccharomycetes; Saccharomycodales; Saccharomycodaceae
Description: tRNA-Phe
Rfam family: tRNA
About the family: Transfer RNA (tRNA) molecules are approximately 80 nucleotides in length. Their secondary structure includes four short double-helical elements and three loops (D, anti-codon, and T loops). Further hydrogen bonds mediate the characteristic L-shaped molecular structure. tRNAs have two regions of fundamental functional importance: the anti-codon, which is responsible for specific mRNA codon recognition, and the 3' end, to which the tRNAs corresponding amino acid is attached (by aminoacyl-tRNA synthetases). tRNAs cope with the degeneracy of the genetic code in two manners: having more than one tRNA (with a specific anti-codon) for a particular amino acid; and 'wobble' base-pairing, i.e. permitting non-standard base-pairing at the 3rd anti-codon position.
Source: RNAcentral